UACGUAGACCUCAAGCGUUAUCCGGAUUUAUUGGGCGUAAAGCGUGUGUAGGAGGUCCUGUGCGUCUUCUGUUAAAGCCCACCGCCUAACGGUGGAAGUGCAGAGGAUACGGCAGGACUAGAGGAGGUUAGAGGUGCAUGGAACGCACGGUGUAGGGGUAAUAUCCGUUGAUAUCGUGCGGAACACCAAAGGCGAAGGCAGUGCACUGGGACCUUCCUGACUCUGAGACACGAAAGCGUGGGGAGCAAAAAGG
RNAcentral lists this ribosomal RNA (253 nucleotides) under uncultured bacterium. RNAcentral describes it as "partial 16S ribosomal RNA". It matches the Rfam family "Bacterial small subunit ribosomal RNA", at positions 524 to 776 of the family's 1533-position model. The record is from RNAcentral.